UGGGGAAUAUUGCACAAUGGGGGAAACCCUGAUGCAGCGACGCCGCGUGAGCGAAGAAGGCUUUCGAGUCGUAAAGCUCUGUCCUAUGAGAAGAUAAUGACGGUAUCAUAGGAGGAAGCCCUGGCUAAAUACGUGCCAGCAGCCGCGGUAAUACGUAUGGGGCGAGCGUUGUCCGGAAUUAUUGGGCGUAAAGGGUACGUAGGCGGUUUUUUAAGUCAGGAGUCAAAGCGUGGAGCUUAACUCCAUUAAGCACUUGAAACUGAAAGACUUGAGUGAAGGAGAGGAAAGUGGAAUUCCUAGUGUAGCGGUGAAAUGCGUAGAUAUUAGGAGGAAUACCGGUGGCGAAGGCGACUUUCUGGACUUUUACUGACGCUCAGGUACGAAAGCGUGGGGAGCAAACAGG
RNAcentral lists this ribosomal RNA (403 nucleotides) under Verrucomicrobiota bacterium. RNAcentral describes it as "Verrucomicrobia bacterium partial 16S ribosomal RNA". It matches the Rfam family "Bacterial small subunit ribosomal RNA", at positions 355 to 776 of the family's 1533-position model. The record is from RNAcentral. Lineage: Bacteria; Pseudomonadati; Verrucomicrobiota.